This is a non-coding RNA of Delphinapterus leucas (beluga whale), 1793 nucleotides long. The record is from RefSeq and is a predicted model, not a curated record. NCBI's taxonomy places the organism in Eukaryota, Metazoa, Chordata, Mammalia, Artiodactyla, Monodontidae.
ACAACCACGCUGACGACGUCCCAGGCCUCGCCCCACCCUGCCUGGGAAGCCUGAGCUGCACCGCAGAGCCCGGACACAGCGUGCGCGGCGUGUGCGCAUGUGUGCAUGCGUGAGCGUGCGUGUGCGUGCGGAUUCGCCGCGGGCCGUCAGUCCCAGUGGCCGCGGGAGACGGGCAGUGUCUGGAGGAGGGGGGAGGAGGCCAUUUUUGUCUUCUAUCGCUUCGAAUCAAGACUCUCCUUUUAAAAAUGGGUUAAAGAACAAAGUGAGUGAAAACCUAAGCGCCCCCUCUCCCUCCGCAGGAAGCUCUAGUUCCGGGGCUGCGCGGGCCCCGUUUCUCCGGGAGUUAGCGCACGGGAGUUGGGCGCCCACCGCGUCCGCUGCUGAGGUCGGGCGGCCGCAUCCCGGGGCACCUGGGCCUCUUCGUGGCUCCUGGACUCCACGGCGCAGGCCUCCUCUCGCGCUCGGCUCGGCAAUCCCGGGCCCCUGACCUCUGUAGCCGAGCCGCCCACCUCUUCCUCCCCCGAGGGCGUAAACCCGAAUCCACUCUGGCCUCGGGCCUCGGCCUGCGCCUUGGCCGGCGGACCGCCCGGCUCUGAGGAUUCUAGGCGAUGGGGAGGCGGGCUGAGCUCCCCUCCUGACGGGAUUCCGCACGCAUCUGUUUCGGGACCCUGGCCGUGUCCCGGCCUUAACCUCCUCAGCGUUACAACGGGGAUAAUAAACCUUGCUGGCUCGCCCGCCAGGUGGUGGCUGGAUAAUAUAUUCCGGUAGAGGACUGAGGAGGGUUGGCAAAGACUGUCGACUAUUCCGCUGGGCGGCCGUUCACAGCCCUCCCAGAUUGGAGGGUGGAGGGCGGGGGUAGUUCAGCCCCCGGCCUGCGACCUCCCGGAAGAAAGGGGCUCGUGGUCGUUUAGGUUGCGCAGAGCCCGCCACGCUUCCGGCUGGGGCACGUGGCGCCCUUGGGGACCUUCGGCCUCACUGUCCCGAGCUCGGCCUGGGGCGGAGCAGCCUUCUCGGCACCCUGUACUCGGCUCUGCGCGGACCCCACCGUCUCGCCGAGGGCAGCAGCCGUAGGAGACUCCGGAACUUCUGGCCAGAGCAGGAGCUGAGCGUCCCCGACUGAACUCAGGCAGAAAGGGAAGCCCUGUAGGUUGUCCUGAUCUGCGGACGCAGUGGAGGCGACCCUGAGUCUUGCAGGAAAACCAACCCCAGAGAAGACAUUGGCCUCUGAUGGUCAGACCUCCGCGGAGAGUAUCAAAGAAGGAAGUCCCACUAACUCUUCACAAAACUAUAAAACCAUCUAAAAAAAGUAAGCGUCCGUAUGGAUUGAGGGAAACAGUUGAGAAUUAAAAGGCAUCACGACACAGGGCUAUGAUUAUAUGUGCCAUCAUCCAGGAGACCACAACUACUUGCUUAUGAGGACUGUGCUUAUAAGAUUGCUUUCCUAGUCAGCUCUACCACUUCUUACUUUCAGUGUGCCUGCAUCUACAAGUGGUCAUUUCCAGGAAGCAAGACUUACCGCUCAUAGCUAAAGAAGACCAGUUUCUGGAGAAACAAGGUUCACAGGUAAAUACCUAAUAUUGAGGCUGCUGGAAGUCUGAUUACCAGGUACAUGGGUCGAGACUGUAUUCCUAUUUGGGGAAGGUCAAGUCAGAGUAUGGACUCAUGGUACUUUAGAUGCCUCGUGAAGUGAUGUGUUCCUGUAUUGGAGAUGUUCCUAAAAAGGCCAGAGCUCCAGGUAGCACAAGCAUCAUAUGGGAGGCUCUCAAGCUGGGCUGCAAAUUAGGGCAGAAGGA